GUGAGGAAUAUUGGUCAAUGGGCGAGAGCCUGAACCAGCCAAGUCGCGUGAAGGAAGAAGGAUCUAUGGUUCGUAAACUUCUUUUGCAGGGGAAUAAAGUGCAGGACGUGUCCUGUUUUGUAUGUACCCUGAGAAUAAGGAUCGGCUAACUCCGUGCCAGCAGCCGCGGUAAUACGGAGGAUCCGAGCGUUAUCCGGAUUUAUUGGGUUUAAAGGGUGCGUAGGUGGAUUGAUAAGUCAGCGGUGAAAGUUUGCAGCUUAACUGUAAAAAUGCCGUUGAAACUGUCGGACUUGAGUGUAAAUGAGGUAGGCGGAAUGCGUGGUGUAGCGGUGAAAUGCAUAGAUAUCACGCAGAACUCCGAUUGCGAAGGCAGCUUACUAAGCUACAACUGACACUGAAGCACGAAAGCGUGGGGAUCAAACAGGAUUAGAUACCCGUGUAGUCCC
RNAcentral lists this ribosomal RNA (446 nucleotides) under uncultured bacterium. Its description in RNAcentral is "partial 16S ribosomal RNA". It matches the Rfam family "Bacterial small subunit ribosomal RNA", at positions 354 to 797 of the family's 1533-position model. The record is from RNAcentral.